GUGAAAUUGUUGAAAGGGAAGCGCUUGCAACCAGACCUGCCUGCAGUUGCUCAUCCGUGGCUUUUGCCCGGUGCACUCUUCUGCUGUCAGGCCAGCAUCAGUUCGGGCGGUCGGAUAAAGGCUUCGGGAAUGUAGCUCCUCUCGGGGAGUGUUAUAGCCCGUUGCGAAAUGCGGCCAGCCUGGACUGAGGUCCGCGCUUCGGCUAGGAUGCUGGCGUAAUGGUUGUAAGCGGCCCGUCUUGAAACACGGACCAAGGAGUCUAACAUCUGUGCGAGUGUUUGGGUGUUAAACCCGUACGCGUAAUGAAAGUGAACGGAGGCGGGAACCCCUCGGGGUGCACCGUCGACCGAUCCUGAUGUCUUCGGAUGGAUUUGAGUAAGAGCAUAGCUGUUGGGACCCGAAAGAUGGUGAACUAUGCCUGAAUAGGGUGAAGCCAGAGGAAACUCUGGUGGAGGCUCGCAGCGGUUCUGACGUGCAAAUCGAUCGUCAAAUUUGGGCAUAGGGGCGAAAGACUAAUCGAACUAUCUAGUAGCUGGUUCCUGCCGAAGUUUCCCUCAGGAUAGCAGUAACGUUUUCAGUUUUAUGAGGUAAAGCGAAUGAUUAGAGGCCUGGGGGUUGAAACAACCUUCACCUAUUCUCAAACUUUAAAUAUGUAAGAAGUCCUUGUUGCUCAGUUGAACGUGGACAUUUGAAUGUAUCGUUACUAGUGGGCCAUUUUUGGUAAGCAGAACUGGCG
Molecule: ribosomal RNA, 736 nt
Filed under: uncultured Ascomycota
Lineage: Eukaryota; Fungi; Ascomycota
Description: LSU rRNA
Rfam family: Eukaryotic large subunit ribosomal RNA
Source: RNAcentral